This 553-nucleotide ribosomal RNA is filed under the name uncultured bacterium. RNAcentral describes it as "bacterial SSU rRNA". It matches the Rfam family "Bacterial small subunit ribosomal RNA", at positions 37 to 561 of the family's 1533-position model. The record is from RNAcentral.
UGGCGGCGUGCUUACACAUGCAAGCNNNNAACGAGAAAGGAUCUCUUCGGAGAUUUGAGUAAAGUGGCGCACGGGUGAGUAACGCGUAGAUAAUCUACCCUUAUAUCCGGGAUAACAUUUCGAAAGAGGUGCUAAUACCGGAUACGCUCUUUAAUACGCGAGUAAUAGAGAGGAAAGACGGCCUCUGUUUCAAGCAGUCGUAUAGGGAUGAGUCUGCGUACCAUUAGCUGGUUGGUGGGGUAAUGGCCUACCAAGGCAACGAUGGUUAGCGGGUCUGAGAGGAUGAUCCGCCACACUGGAACUGGAACACGGACCAGACUCCUACGGGAGGCAGCAGUGAGGAAUUUUGCGCAAUGGGGGAAACCCUGACGCAGCGACGCCGCGUGGGUGAUGAAGGCUUUCGAGUCGUAAAGCCCUGUCAGAUGGGAAGAAAUGUAUUGGGAUUNACAGUCCUGGUAUUUGACGGUACCAUCAGAGGAAGCACCGGCUAACUCCGUGCCAGCAGCCGCGGUAAUACGGAGGGGUGCAAGCGUUGUUCGGAAUUACUGGGCGU